RNAcentral lists this unclassified non-coding RNA (337 nucleotides) under soil metagenome. RNAcentral describes it as "partial contains 5.8S ribosomal RNA, internal transcribed spacer 2, and large subunit ribosomal RNA". The stretch from base 1 to 120 matches the Rfam family "5.8S ribosomal RNA", at positions 35 to 154 of the family's 154-position model. The record is from RNAcentral.
GAUGAAGAACGUAGCGAAAUGCGAUAAGUAAUGUGAAUUGCAGAAUUCAGUGAAUCAUCGAAUCUUUGAACGCACAUUGCGCCCCUUGGUAUUCCGAGGGGCAUGCCUGUUCGAGCGUCAUUACACCACUCAAGCUAUGCUUGGUAUUGGGCGUCGUCCUUAGUUGGGCGCGCCUUAAAGACCUCGGCGAGGCCACUCCGGCUUUAGGCGUAGUAGAAUUUAUUCGAACGUCUGUCAAAGGAGAGGAACUCUGCCGACUGAAACCUUUAUUUUUCUAGGUUGACCUCGGAUCAGGUAGGGAUAUCCGCUGAACUUAAGCAUAUCAAUAAGCGGAGGA